This 468-nucleotide ribosomal RNA is filed under the name uncultured bacterium. RNAcentral describes it as "partial 16S ribosomal RNA". It matches the Rfam family "Bacterial small subunit ribosomal RNA", at positions 28 to 507 of the family's 1533-position model. The record is from RNAcentral.
GACGAACGCUGGCGGCGUGCUUAACACAUGCAAGUCGAACGGAAAGGCCCUGCUUUUGUGGGGUGCUCGAUUGGCGAACGGGUGAGUAACACAUGAGUAACCUGCCCUUAACUUUGGGAUAACUUCAGGGAACUGGGGCUAAUACCGGAUAGGAGCUCCUGCUGCAUAUUGGGGGUUGGAAAGUUUCGGCGUUUGGGGCUGGACUCGCGGCUUAUCAGCUUGUUGGUGGGGUAGUGGCUUACCAAGGCUUUGACGGGUAGCCGGCCUGAGAGGGUGACCGGCCACAUGGGGACUGAGAUACGGCCCAGACUCCUACGGGAGGCAGCAGUGGGGAAUAUUGCACAAUGGGCGGAAGCCUGAUGCAGAAACGCCGCGUGCGGGAUGACGGCUUUCGGGUUGUAAACCGCUUUCGCCUGUGACGAAGCGUGAGUGACGGUAAUGGGUAAAGAAGCACCGGCUAACUACGUG